UGUUACGUCAUGGGCUGUGCCAUGUUAUGUCACCGGGGCUCUCUCAUUCAGGGCGUCUGUGCCACGUUACCUCACAGGGGCUGUGCCAUGUUACCUCACAGGAGCACUCUUGCUCAGGGUGGCUGUGCCACGUUACCUCACAGGGGCUCUCUCAGUCAGGGCAGCUGUGCCAGGAGGGCCGUGGCCCUUUUCUGUUGGCUGACCAAUUUUCUGCCUCCAUCUUCAUUAUGUGCUGUCAAUGUUCAUCCUGAGGAGCACCACUUGUUCAUUCAGUCAUCCAAAGCCAAGACACACCGAAACCAGGAAGAUGUCCUUCUGGGUGACCGCUCUCUUUUUGUGAGGCUCACGAAUUCUACUCCUACACUUUUGCGAGGUCCUUCUGUACUCCUGGAGUGAAGCACAUUGGAAGAAGGGCAGCUUGAGGAUGUCUGUGGAAUUCACUGCCACCGAUAUAUCCUUGAGGCCAAGAGCUUGUUGUUGUUAAUCUGUGUUGAGUGUGUAAUUGAGAUCCUAAGAGGGAGAUUAGCAGGAACCCCCUUGGGAAGACAUCUGACCUACACAAGGAAGCUAAUACAUAAAUAGCCCAAACUAUUGAGGCUAACUGCACCAUUUACCUGGAUGGUACCAUCCCUUCAUCAAGAGCCUCUCAGUGCCCCAGAGCUGAUCACCAUCUCUGUCAUUAGCCCCAGCUCUGAUGUUUUUUUCCCUGUCAUUUCUCACACCUGGACGGCCUUGCUUAGCGCUGCCGCUGUCAUUUGUGUCUGGAUGUGGAAACGUUUCCCUGGACGCUUGAUUCAUCCGUCAUUUAGAUAAUCGGAAAAAGCAGUUUUCAGGAGCAGCGUUCUACUGGGAAGCAGCCUGUUUCGAUCCAGAUGAACGUGAUGGCCAGCCUAUCAAAGCUGUUUUUCAGAUUCGCUCGCGUGGCUUUGCAGAACCUUCUGGCAUCUGCUAGGAGGAAACUCUGAUUAACCCAACAUUAUUCUUAAACACCUAUUGCUUCUGCAGCUGCUGCCCUGCUACUGUUAUCUAAGGCGGCUGGGCGUAAAUAUUCUCCUAACUGCUUGGCAUGAUCCUUUGGGACAGAAGGCCCUGCGUGAAUGGAAGAUAUUAUUAAUUAUCAGCAGCUCUUGUCCUAAUAAAGGGCCAGGGUUUUUCGACGCAUGGGGCUUUGAUUCAACAAUCAUCUUUCAAGCAGCCGGCUUGCAGCCUCACCUUAAACUCUCAGCACAGCAAACUCUUUGCCAAAUAUAACCCGACUGCUAGGCCAUGAUGGAUAUAUAUGUAUAUCCCCUUCCCUGCCUCAAUGAUCAGAUGGCGAAGCAAAUGGCUCCUAUGACAGAUGUGAGAUCUUGGAAGCGUGGAAACAUCGAAAGACUUAUUCUCCUGGGAUGUGCCAGACACCAUAGGCGCAGGAAAUAUUAAUGGACCUUUCUCCAUCAGUAAGUGUGGUGUGUAUCUUUGUGGUUUUCUGGCUUGCUGGGUCGGUUUCCUGUGGCAUCUAGAAUUAUUAAUGAAAAGUCACCCAGUGCCAGUUAUGCAGAUAUCAGCCUUUCCUGGGGAGAGGGGCAUUGAUGGGUUUUAUCUGUUUCAGGAGGGCUGGCCUCCAAACUAUUACCACCCCCC
Mauremys mutica (yellowpond turtle) is the source of this 1623-nucleotide long non-coding RNA. RefSeq lists it as uncharacterized. The transcript is spliced from 5 exons. The record is from RefSeq and is a predicted model, not a curated record. Lineage: Eukaryota; Metazoa; Chordata; Testudines; Geoemydidae.